AUCCAUCUGACUAGUCCUAGAUAUAACGAAACGCGUGUCCUGGAU
Molecule: non-coding RNA, 45 nt
Organism: Schistosoma haematobium
Lineage: Eukaryota; Metazoa; Platyhelminthes; Trematoda; Strigeidida; Schistosomatidae
Source: Rfam